Mustela erminea (ermine) is the source of this 1453-nucleotide long non-coding RNA. RefSeq lists it as uncharacterized. Lineage: Eukaryota; Metazoa; Chordata; Mammalia; Carnivora; Mustelidae. The record is from RefSeq and is a predicted model, not a curated record. The transcript is spliced from 3 exons.
GUGUGUGUGCGUGGAUUGUGGGAACUGCCUCCCUCGAUCAAGUAGGCAGUAACGUUUCCCGAUCUGCCCUCUGCAGUGGGAGACCCAGGAGAGCUACUGCUGUCAUUCAGUCCAAGUCCACAGGCCUGAGAACCGGCGUCGUGAAUGCCCAAGGGCAGGAGAUGAUGGACGCCCCGGCUCCUGCAGACACCACAGAGAUGGAGGCAGGUGGAAGUCUCCUCUGUAGCAGAUAACGCUCCAUGUGCAGCCACAGUGGGCUUCCUCAUGGGAAGACCGGGAUCAGACUGACUCACCACCCCAUCCUGUUGGUCGGUGGAGAACCACGGGCCUCUCCUUUAUGGGGUGAGCUUCCAUAAAAGUCACGGGAAGGAGCGGACCCGGUGGAUGCUCUCUCACCGGGGAGAGGGAGUGAAAGCCGGGAUGCCAAGAGCCUACGAGUAUUGGGAACAGGGUUUCUGCUCCAAGACAGAAGACCCCAGGAGUGCGGAAAAAGUGUCCCUCAGUACCACGUCCGAGGUCUUGUUCUCUCCUCGGGCAUCCCGGGCCAUUCAGAGAUGCUGACCCAGCCAGUGGGAAUCCCAGUGUGCUGCGCGUCAGUAGCGUUUCCCCCGGGGAUGCUGGGGGCCCUUCACCACAACUCGGGGACUGAAGGGCCAUUUGAUCUGCACAUCUCUGAUGGUCGGUUCAGGGAGUGGUGAGUGGCUUGGCCAUUUCCUGCAGCUCAGCUCCCAACCAGGGGGGUGAGGGAAACCGGCAGGCCCAGCGCUCCACCGGAACCUCUCAGGACCCGUCUAACAGGGGUACGGGGCAGCCGGUUAAACCACCACCCUGAGUGAAGCCACAGACUGGGAAAUGAGAAGUAACAGACGGCGCAGCCCAGUCUGGCUGAGGAGUGGAGAUGAGCCCAGUGCCUCUGAAACAAGGAGGCAGAAAAGACAGACUAGAGUACUGACGGGCAGGGCCUUCUUUUGCGGGGGAUGAAGAUAUCCUCGUAUUGGACUGCGAUGACACUUGGACAGUCCUGUGAAUGUACAUAAAAACAUUGAGCUCUGCACUAAGUGGGUGACUUGUAGUGAGUCAUACUUCAUUGAGGAUGUCUAAAAAAUAACAACACAACAGAGAUGGUGUGCUUUAGUGGGUGGACUAGUGGAGGAGAGGCAGGGUCCCAGGCCUUCCCUUGUUGGCCCAGUGGGUGUGUGCCCUUGGUCACUCCCCUUUCUCGUGCCUCAGUUAGCUCCUCCGGUAGGUGAAGGACGUGGACAUAUGGUCUGCAGGGUUCCUGUAUCCGUUUCCAGAGGCUGCUGUAGUAAGCGACCACGAGUGUGGUGACUGAAAACAACACAACUUUAUUUUGUCCCGGUCCUGGAGGCCAGAUGCCUGAAAUCAGGGGCUGUGGUCCCUCCAGACACUCGGCAGGGAGAAUCCCUUCCUGGCCCCUCUCACAGCGGCUGUG